UGUUUCGGCUAGGGGGUCAUCCCGACUUACCAACCCGAUGCAAACUGCGAAUACCGAAGAAUGUUAUCACGGGAGACACACGGCGGGUGCUAACGUCCGUCGUGAAGAGGGAAACAACCCAGACCGCCAGCUAAGGUCCCAAAGUCAUGGUUAAGUGGGAAACGAUGUGGGAAGGCACAGACAGCCAGGAUGUUGGCUUAGAAGCAGCCAUCAUUUAAAGAAAGCGUAAUAGCUCACUGGUCGAGUCGGCCUGCGCGGAAGAUGUAACGGGGCUAAACCAUGCACCGAAGCUGCGGCAGCGACACUAUGUGUUGUUGGGUAGGGGAGCGUUCUGUAAGCCGUUGAAGGUGUAUCGUGAGGUAUGCUGGAGGUAUCAGAAGUGCGAAUGCUGACAUAAGUAACGAUAAUGCGGGUGAAAAACCCGCACGCCGGAAGACCAAGGGUUCCUGUCCAACGUUAAUCGGGGCAGGGUGAGUCGACCCCUAAGGCGAGGCCGAAAGGCGUAGUCGAUGGGAAACAGGUUAAUAUUCCUGUACUUGGUGUUACUGCGAAGGGGGGACGGAGAAGGCUAUGUUAGCCGGGCGACGGUUGUCCCGGUUUAAGCAUGUAGGCGGAGGUUCCAGGUAAAUCCGGUACCUUUUUAACGCUGAGGUGUGAUGACGAGGCACUACGGUGCUGAAGUAACAAAUGCCCUGCUUCCAGGAAAAGCCUCUAAGCAUCAGGUAACACGAAAUCGUACCCCAAACCGACACAGGUGGUCAGGUAGAGAAUACCAAGGCGCUUGAGAGAACUCGGGUGAAGGAACUAGGCAAAAUGGUGCCGUAACUUCGGGAGAAGGCA
Molecule: ribosomal RNA, 840 nt
Filed under: Citrobacter freundii
Lineage: Bacteria; Pseudomonadati; Pseudomonadota; Gammaproteobacteria; Enterobacterales; Enterobacteriaceae
Description: partial 23S ribosomal RNA
Rfam family: Bacterial large subunit ribosomal RNA
Source: RNAcentral